Carlito syrichta (Philippine tarsier) is the source of this 922-nucleotide long non-coding RNA. RefSeq lists it as uncharacterized. The transcript has 3 exons. The record is from RefSeq and is a predicted model, not a curated record. Lineage: Eukaryota; Metazoa; Chordata; Mammalia; Primates; Tarsiidae.
UCAUUAUUCAAGGAGGUGUUCUUGGUCUGUGAGGCAACCUGGACCUUCAGCAAUACAUGCAGUCUUUCUCUCAAUGCAUGCUUGAAAAAUGAAAAAAGCGCCUAGAGGAUCUCUCGGCAUGCUGCUCUAGGAGCCCCAUGUUUCAUUUUGAAAUGGAGUGUGAAUACACUUUUGUCCUGCUCUAAGGAAAAAGAGAUUCAUGUUUCUUUAAAAAUAAUCAGUGUAUUUGUGACUCACGAUGUGUAUGGCCAUGUCCUCUGCUGGGUCAUUUGGAAACUUAGAGAGGUUUGAAUGGUGGCACAGAGCAAAAGAAUCCACUGGUCUCCUGACGUGAGGGGGCAUACAACUCAAAAAUUACUGGCCUACAUUUUUUGUACCACCACCUUUCUUCAGAACUCAACCUAUGAGAACAAACAGUUUAAAUCCCUUGCAAAAUGCCCCAUAACCAAGCUUUGCUAUGAAAAUCCACCUUUGAAUAGGAAGAACUCUUUAUCACCUGAGAUACUAAGGGAGGCAUGUCCAAGCUGUAUCAAAAGUACCCUGUCUGGACAUGACUUCAUUCAUGGAAGAACUUCUGUCUCAGCCUACUGGAUGAAUUCCACAUGAGGAGAAGAGGAUUUUGUUGAGCAUGUGACAAACUGGAGAAGCAGGUCAUGAAUACAUGCUAAAGCAUUCUGUUGCUCAACUUGUGCCACAUGAAGGCAUUACUUGCACACCUUCUUAGGGAUCGGAGAUUUUGGAAUGGUGAUGCAAACAUGCAUGUAUUUGGAAGAAAGGUCUGUGGGAAGUGGCUUCCCAGUUGGAGAAUCAGUUUCCUUUUUGAAAUGCAUUUUGGACUCCUCUGCUGCCAGAAACUGGCCUGGAAAUAAGCAGCUAUGUCAAAAACAAAUGGCUGUAAAGACGUGGAUGGCAAUGGAUACAC